This 5499-nucleotide long non-coding RNA is filed under the name Sus scrofa (pig). RNAcentral describes it as "lncRNA (ENSSSCG00000059687.1)". Lineage: Eukaryota; Metazoa; Chordata; Mammalia; Artiodactyla; Suidae. The record is from RNAcentral.
UACUCCUAAAAGCAGGGAGGGCUGAGAAUGUGAUUUACAGACAGUAAAGGAAGCUACUUUUAAGCAAGCAAACCUCUGGGAAACUCUGAAUAAUAUAAUGACCUAACACUAGACUUGCCCUGCAGCUCAAUAUUGUCAGUAAACUCUUGAGAAAACAUAUUAGUGUUAUUUACAUGAUUUAUAGCCUCAAGAUAUUUAACUAGGCAUUCCAUUUAGAUUUAUCAGGAUAGCUAUUGCCUGCUAAGUACAUAUAAAUACUAGAUAUGUAAGAAAAUAUUUAGUAAAGUUUAACGAUUAAAUAGUAUCUGCUCAUCUUGUUAGAGACUUGUUAAUCUGUAGCAAAAAACACUUUCUUAUACUGACACUUUGUUAACAUGUAAUAAACAUAUUAAGGGUAAGCAAAAUUUAUACCUGAAGAGAAGCACCUUCUGAGACAUGGUUGUUUUCUUUGUAUGUUUUUCUGACUAGGUGGUAUAAAUGACACUCUGUUUGGCAUUCUUUCAGCUCUUAUUUGAUGAGUGGGAGCAUCCUGCAAGGGGACACCAUUAUUGAGAGAAUGUUAGUAUCUGGAAAACAUUGAUCACUUGUGAUAGAAUAUGGCCUGUUUGGGCAGGGUCUUCUUAUCAUGAGCAAUACUAGUUAGCUCAAACUUCUCUCCAUUUUUUUGCUACCCUGAAAUCCAAGCCAGUUGCUGCUGGAUGACUAAGAUUUCCUUUUAUUUGUCUCUUUCCUUCACCAUUGUCCUUCUACAGCCCAUCCUCCAUAUGGUAUUAGAACAGUCUUUCUAAAAUAUGCAUCAGAUCAUGCCAAUCCCUUGUUUAAAAACUUUUACUAACCAAUCAAGUUACUAGAAUAAAAAUCUAAAUUUCUUACCCUGGAAUCUCUCUUUUUUUUGACCCUUCCUCAAUUUUUAAUUUCAUUGUCUUUUUCCAACUCCCUCUCACAACCUACAUACAAACUGCAUUCCAGGUUUAUUGCUCCUGGUUUAUGAUAUAAUGCAUCCCUUUCUCAGGGCCUUUGCAUAUGCCAUUUUUUAAAAAGUCUGGAAAGUUCUUUUCGCUGAUACUGCAUGACUGCCUCCUUAAGUUUCAGAGCAUUUGUCCCCCUCACCACACCUCCAGGGUAUUUUCUCUCUAUCACACAUAUUUUUCUCUGUGGCACUUACUCUACAAAAUAACGUUAAUAUGUAUUUACUUGUUUAGUGUCUGUUUCUGCAUCAAGGAUAUAAGUUUCAUGAGAAUAAAGUCGUGGUGUAUCUUGACUUACUACCAUAUCAAUAAAAGCAUAUUAAAUGAAUGUAUGCAUCAUAAAUUUACUGGACAUGUCUGUAUAUGGAAUUGCACAUCUGCCUCCAUUCUUGCACAUUUCUCCUUGGCAUAUUUUCUGAUUGUAGGAAUCCAAGUCAUUACAACAACCACAAAUAGAGGAUUUAAUUGCCUGAUUACCUGCUUGUACUAACAUCUUGCUAUACUGAAAGUCCUGCUACAACCAUCUUUCCACGUGUUACAGUGCUAUUCCCAUAUGUGAGGGAUAGAUCAAAAAGAGCAACAGCAAUGCAGAUGAAGCAUUGGCAAUUGUCCCUUCCUUGUACAUGGUGGCAGUUUGGACAGUCCGAAAAAGAGGAAGGUCUGAGUGCUAGUAAGCAUGUAUCUAUGAAAUAAUGGCAUCUGUGAGAAUAAGCUUGUUGGUGGGGGAGGACCCAAGCGGCUGUUCAAGAAUCUCAGAGAUCUUGUGAAAACUUGGACAGGUCCAAGCACUGAUACCUACCAAAACAGAAUGAGUGAGAAAAGCAGAAGACCAAUAGGAUAACGGUGAACCACAAAGACCUAAACUAAAAGCAAAUCAUAAAAGAGCGAUUUUUAAUUGCACAGAGCAUGGAUUGAAUGCUUUACAUCACUAAGGGUUCUAUAGUAAGGAUUUGAACAAUUUUUAACUGACUUGAAGCCGAUUGAUUUUGUUAGGCAAUGAGACACAUGUGAAUGAAGCUAUUGUAUUCAAAAGAACCACAUUCCAAAGGAAAUUCACACAGAUAGUGCCAUGCUUGUGAACAUAAACUGAGAUACUUGAAUAUUGUUAAAAUUAUGAUGAGGUCAUUGAGAAUGUCAUAGCAGGAAUCCUAAGGAAAAGCAUUAACAUUUCUGCAUUUCUAGUUUGUAUGGAAAUGCUAAUUCUACUUAUGUUAAGUAAAGUACAGGCAUGGCAUUAUUAUGAUUAAAACUUUACAACUGUAGAAAUGUAGAGUGGUAUAUUAAUAAUAUUAUAGACAUGUUUAGCAUAAAAUGCAACCCAUGUAGCUAAAUUAGUUGUACAUUCCAGGCUGCAUCUGGAUUUCUUGUGAUCCUAUUACCUUACAAAGCUGAACAGAAGAAUAAACCUUUCAUGCUUCUUAGGGUGCUCACACAUUAGCUAGUUUUUGUUUUUCCUACCGCAUUUGUCCCUGGAGAGUGCCGGAAUCUUCUAAAGGCUUUUUUAGAAAAGCACUGUGUUAUUUUAAAGUAGUAGUUAAGAUCAUCUUACUUGGGUGAUGAUGCCUGUUUCAUAUGGCUAAUAGCCAUACUUGCCUCACAAAUAACCUGAAAGAAUGAUCACUUUCGCUAGCCUUCUCGGGAGAAGGUAUAUAUAGUAGUUUAUAGAAAAAUUGCUUGUAUAAAUUUCAGUAACUCAUUUAUUAUGUCCUACUCUACAUUUUUUAGGAGAGCAAGAAGAAUUAAUAUUGGAGUAGAUUUGGGGGAGUAGCCAUUAGGAUGACAUCUAUAUAUAUAUAAAUUAUUGGAUUUAUUAGGACAUACUAGGUCUUAGUGAGAGAUUACUAAGGGGAGAAAACCAGGAGUCAUGAGGGAGUGAAAGAGGGAAGGACUCUGAGAGAACAUAAAGUUGAAACGGAAGUUUACAUUAUAACCACAAAUAGAUUUAUUAACUCUGUUAAUGAUAUUAGCCAUGUGAAUGGGCUUGGGCAAGUCAUCAAUUAUGGAGUGAUCUCGCUAAGCCAAGGGUUGGGUUAAAACAAUGUAGUUGAAGUGCCAUCUGGACAUACAUGAUAAAUAUUAAAUUGUUAACUUACAUAAUAAACUUCGUGAUUUUGAAACUGUUCACAAAUCCAAUCUGAAUUUUUAAGCAGUCUAAGGAACUAGAGAGUUUUAAAAAUGUAGGCUUUUUUUAUGUUUUACUUACAGGGCACAUAGUAAGUCAAUUUAGUUUAACAAAAGUUGCCAAGAAAUGGACUUCAUUUAAAAUAGCAUUUUAAAAAAAGCUUUAAUUGCAUCAUAUGAUUUUUUCUAUGUAUAUAUGUACUUAUAAUUUUGUCUUCUUAGAUAAGUUAGACAUAGGAAUAUUACAAUUCUGAUUACAAUCCUGAUACAUCAUUUUGUCAGAGUGAUUGUGGAGAUAAACUCCAGCUCUGAUUGAUUUGCAACAAAUUUCGCACUCCUACUAUUUUGAUGUGAAUUAUCAUACACCAAUGUAUGUUAAACUUUUUAUUUCAUCCUAGGACCAGACCCGUCCUACUGGUAACUUGAGUUUACAGGUAUAGGUAUUAGUCAACAACCAUAUAUAGGCAUCUACUGCAAAUACUAUGCUAUCAUUCUAACAUACUUUAUCCUUGCCCUGGAAAAACCUCUUCCUUUCUUCAUUCAAAAUGUACUCAACUGAUACAAGAGAAUUUUCAUACUCUUGAUGUAUUUGAUCCUUCCCCUUGGUGUCAGUUUCUCCUUGCAAGGUCACCUAACAUCAUUAGAGGAAGUACAAGUGCUAGUAGCCCCAGUCCUUUGUGUCUUUCUAUUCUUCCCCCUGAUGUCAGAGAAACACCGUCAGCCCAAAGAAGUGUUAUGUCUGAGCCUUUGUCUAAGGUGACCCCUCAUCUCUAAAUGCUCAGAAGAAUACUGCCAGGGUUUGUGAAGCUGGCUGGCAGUGGUAGGUGGGGGUAGGUGCUCUUUCCCUUGCACUCUUGGCAGAGAGUUAUGUAACCUUCCAUCUCACUUGGCAUUUGAAACUCAUUUUCCCAUCGAUAUUGGGAACCAUAGGAUUAUGGAUUUUGUCGUUCAACCAUUUUUUUCUGUGGCAAAAAAAUGGGUUCUGAGUUUUAAACAGCUCAGUUACAAAGUGAUGGUAGAACAUCAUUGGUUUAUUAUCUGAAACUCUUUAUCAGCUUCAAUAUAGGACAAUUUGAUCUAUAUAAAUUUAAUGUAUAGUACAAGUGAAAAUAAUAGUACGCCACCAAUCUUGAGUUUGUGACAAUUCAGAUUCUAGGCUUUCAAGUAUUUUUCUUAAAAAAUAAAAGGGGAUUUCCUGUGUGGCUCAACAGUAAUGAACCCAAAUAGUAUCCAUGAGAACACAGGUUGGAUCCUUGGCCUAGCUUAGUGGAUUUAAGGAUCUGGCAUUGCUGUGAGCUGAGAUGUAGUUUGCAGACGCAACUCAGAUCUGGCCUUGCUGUGGCUGGGACAGAGGCUGCAGCUCAGAUUCAACCCCCAUAUGUAUAGGAACUUACAUAUGCUGCAAGUACGGCCUUAAAAAGACAAAAUAAAACAAAAGGUCUUCUUUUCCUCACAUAAUCUGUAGGAGUAAAUCUACCUUUUAAGCUAAUAAAAUGUAGCAGAGAAAUUCUUUGAAUAUUAUGGAGGUACAAGGCAGGUGUCAACACAAUAAUUGCCUCCUUAGGCUUGUACUCCGGUGGAGUUUGAUAAGGAUUCCUAUAAAAUAUGCCUUUUUAAAAACUGGCCUUGAUUAAUCAUUUAUGUAAAUAAGAAGGGUAAACAUAAUGUGUGUGUGUUGUGUGUGUGCCUGUGUAUUUACUCAUAUGUAUGUGGAAUAUUUAGGAAAGAUGUAUAAGAACCUCCAAAUAGAUGAAACAGGUUGCCUAAAGACAGGAAUAGAAAGAUAGCUACAGUUCAUUCUACAACAUUCUGUACCACUUGAUUUUUGCACUAUGUGAAUGCCUUAACUAUUCAAAUAAAUGAAAUUAAAAGGAAAACAGAAAGGUUUUGGUUGGUCCACACCCAUCUUUUAUGCAAAACAUUGGUACUGAGGGAGAUGUCUAAUACUUUGGGGCUUUCACAUGAGUGACUAACAGUGGAGGCCCCUUAUGGCCCUUAUCUCUUGGCUUGACUCAUGGAGUAUAAGGAAUAACAAAUGGUGGUAACCUGCCUUCCAUUCACUGGAGUGCUGUAUGCAGCCUUAGUGUUGCCUGUUAAAUGACGCAAAUCUCCUUCCUUGCACAUGGACAUUUUGAGAAGCAAGUGCCAGUAGAAACUUGGGAAAUGUAGCAUCGUGAUGUUGGAGUUCCUGUCACGGCUCAAUGGAAACGAAUCUGACUCGUAUCCAGGAGGACUCAGGUUCGAUCCCUGGCCUCACUCAGUGGGUUAAGGAUGCGGAGUUACCAUGAUUUGUGAUGUAGGUUGCAGAUGUGGCUUGGAUCCCGCGUUGCUGUGGCUCUGGUGUAGGAAGGCAGCUACAGCUCCUAUUGGACCCCUAGUCUGGGAACCUCCAUAUGCUGUGGGUGUGGCC